GAUGAACGCUGGCGGCGUGCCUAAUACAUGCAAGUCGAGCGAACAGACGAGGAGCUUGCUCCUCUGACGUUAGCGGCGGACGGGUGAGUAACACGUGGAUAACCUACCUAUAAGACUGGGAUAACUUCGGGAAACCGGAGCUAAUACCGGAUAAUAUAUUGAACCGCAUGGUUCAAUAGUGAAAGACGGUUUUGCUGUCACUUAUAGAUGGAUCCGCGCCGCAUUAGCUAGUUGGUAAGGUAACGGCUUACCAAGGCGACGAUGCGUAGCCGACCUGAGAGGGUGAUCGGCCACACUGGAACUGAGACACGGUCCAGACUCCUACGGGAGGCAGCAGUAGGGAAUCUUCCGCAAUGGGCGAAAGCCUGACGGAGCAACGCCGCGUGAGUGAUGAAGGUCUGCGGAUCGUAAAACUCUGUUAUUAGGGAAGAACAAAUGUGUAAGUAACGAUGCACGUCUUGACGGUACCUAAGCAGAAAGCCACGGCUAACUACGU
Molecule: ribosomal RNA, 496 nt
Filed under: uncultured bacterium
Lineage: Bacteria
Description: partial 16S ribosomal RNA
Rfam family: Bacterial small subunit ribosomal RNA
Source: RNAcentral